RNAcentral lists this long non-coding RNA (249 nucleotides) under Elaeis guineensis (African oil palm). RNAcentral's name for it is "long non-coding RNA (EGUI_LNC074446)". The record is from RNAcentral. Lineage: Eukaryota; Viridiplantae; Streptophyta; Magnoliopsida; Arecales; Arecaceae.
AACUUUUCUAAAUUAUCGCUACCUUAAUCUCCAAAUUAUUAACCUUCAUCUGGACAAGUAUAUUGUUACUUCUGUUCUUCAUUUAUUAAUUAUAUUUUUUUUUAAUAUUGUACCGCUAUUGAAUGUUUAAAUUCCUUAAGCUUUCUGUUUGACCCAUGUAGCGAGUUUUCAGUCAAUGACUCCCAAAUCAGAUGGCUUUAGGACACUAGGUAUAGAAUACCCCUCGGACCUACUUGCUCGAAUCAAACA